This 429-nucleotide ribosomal RNA is filed under the name Gemmatimonadota bacterium. RNAcentral's name for it is "Gemmatimonadetes bacterium partial 16S ribosomal RNA". It matches the Rfam family "Bacterial small subunit ribosomal RNA", at positions 355 to 776 of the family's 1533-position model. Lineage: Bacteria; Pseudomonadati; Gemmatimonadota. The record is from RNAcentral.
UAGGGAAUCUUCGGCAAUGGACGAAAGUCUGACCGAGCAACGCCGCGUGAGUGAAGAAGGUUUUCGGAUCGUAAAACUCUGUUGUUAGAGAAGAACAAGGACGUUAGUAACUGAACGUCCCCUGACGGUAUCUAACCAGAAAGCCACGGCUAACUACUUGCCAGCAGCCGCGGUAAUACGUAGGUGGCAAGCGUUGUCCGGAUUUAUUGGGCGUAACGCGAGCGCAGGCGGUUUCUUAAGUCUGAUGUGAAAGCCCCCGGCUCAACCGGGGAGGGUCAUUGGAAACUGGGAGACUUGAGUGCAGAAGAGGAAAGUGGAAUUCCAUGUGUAGCGGUGAAAUGCGUAGAUAUAUGGAGGAACCCCAGUGGCGAAAGCGGCUCUCUGGUCUGUAACUGACGCUGAGGCUCGAAAGCGUGGGGAGCAAACAGG